RNAcentral lists this transfer RNA (73 nucleotides) under Synbranchus marmoratus (marbled swamp eel). RNAcentral's name for it is "tRNA-Leu". It matches the Rfam family "tRNA". From Rfam's summary of the family: Transfer RNA (tRNA) molecules are approximately 80 nucleotides in length. Their secondary structure includes four short double-helical elements and three loops (D, anti-codon, and T loops). Further hydrogen bonds mediate the characteristic L-shaped molecular structure. tRNAs have two regions of fundamental functional importance: the anti-codon, which is responsible for specific mRNA codon recognition, and the 3' end, to which the tRNAs corresponding amino acid is attached (by aminoacyl-tRNA synthetases). tRNAs cope with the degeneracy of the genetic code in two manners: having more than one tRNA (with a specific anti-codon) for a particular amino acid; and 'wobble' base-pairing, i.e. permitting non-standard base-pairing at the 3rd anti-codon position. Lineage: Eukaryota; Metazoa; Chordata; Actinopteri; Synbranchiformes; Synbranchidae. The record is from RNAcentral.
AUUGGUGUGGCAGACCCCGGUAUUGCAAAAGACCUAAGCCCUUUGUAUGGGAGUUCAAAUCCCCCCUCCAAAA